CAUGUUGGACCACUAAGUUCCUACAGGAAAAACUACACCGUUAGAUGACACUAAACCCUACAAACUGGUCUUUUGAGUACAUUUUAAGUAUAUUGUAAUACUAGUACUUUGACUUUCUGCUGCAGUAACAGUAGUUGCUGUAACCACUAGUUAGUACUACUGAAGGUGAUCCUUGUGGUAUCAGAGUUUGAUACAUAUUAUCUCCCUCAGGCUGGAGUUUCUAAAUAUUAAAGUCUGAAUAGGCCCAAAGCUGGAUGUGGCACACCUCUUCCCUGCAGCUGAUGCACCACUCCCCUUCCACACUAGAUUUUCCUCCAUCACGGUGGUCUGAUUACCCACAGACACCAAACACCUCACAUGUGUAAAGAAUGUGUUUCUGCCAUCGCUGAAAAUAGUCCUGUUUUUCACCUCCCCCUCCUCCAAGCAUCAUCAUUCAUCAUUGUUUAAUUUCUGCCACAUAACACUGUGGCAUCCAUUUACCCUCCAUCCCUCUCUGGACCACACUGUGCUAUAUUUGUCUCUUUAAUGAGGAAGGGGCAUUCCAGAGACUUUCUGGGUAAUCACAGUGUCUGGCACAAAAGGCAUCCAGAGGGGUCUCACCGGGCCUCAGUGUCAAAUUCGGAUUUACUUUCCUCUCAUUUCAGAAGGCAACAACAAGCUUCAAACGGCCCGAGUUUGUUCGUCCGAAGUUGAAGUUUACAACAAAAAAAGCAACCCAGUGCUCAUGAAAGCAGGAGCAGUGCUGUGACGGGGUUAUGGUCCCCGUAACGAGGCAGACUCUGGUGUCAGGGCAGUAAUGAGGCGAGUUGUGAGCUGAGGAGUUCGCCGCUGAUGACGAUCCAGAGGAUUCUUAAUAGACAGCUGUUGGUGUGGCGUAAAGAGAAGCCCUGCUGAUCUGUUUGACAGCUGUGACCCGCCAUAGGCUGGGCCAGCGCCAGCCCUGCUCAUGGAUCAGGCGCCUUCAAAGCCAAAGGGAAGAUGCAAGUGGACAUGAACAGAUGGAAGUUCUCUCUGUGAAAUUUGGGAAAAGACUGAAUGAGGUGAAGAUGAUUUGACUUGAGUGAAAAAUUCACACUUAUGCUGAAGCUGUUUGACUCCACAUAAUGAACGUACACAGAUGAGAGUGAGAAGAGGAGAAGCUAGAGGGCAAACACUAUUUAAGCAGACUAACAAUCAUAACCAAUUCUGUUGACACAGUUUUAUGAACCUGAUGGAACUGAUUCUAUUUAGGUCAAUAAAGCUGUAAACGAAGACUGUUUAACACUGCACAAUUUAUUAAAUGUCUGAUUGAUGUGUAUUAAUCUCUGAACACUGCCAGAAACUGACUGACCUAUGCUGCAGUGCUGCACCUAAAUGCAUCCUGUGAAGCUCCUGUUGUGCUGCAUUAAUCACCCUGUAGUGAAUGUAGAAACGUAACUCUUAUAUAAACCUUGUCUAUAUCAGCCGCUGAUAUAGACAAGGUUUAUAUAAGAGUUUGCAGUGGUUAACACUGUUGCCUCACGACAUGAAGAUUUCUGUUUUGAAACAAGUUUGAGUUAGAAGUACGUUUACCAGAUGUCUGAGCCUCGUCCCGUCCUCUUCAAAUACGAUUUCAGCUCUUCCCUUCAAAUUAAACUUGUUGU
Long non-coding RNA from Larimichthys crocea (large yellow croaker), 1622 nucleotides. RefSeq lists it as uncharacterized. The record is from RefSeq and is a predicted model, not a curated record. Lineage: Eukaryota; Metazoa; Chordata; Actinopteri; Sciaenidae. The transcript has 3 exons.